This 62-nucleotide transfer RNA is filed under the name Xenostrobus securis. RNAcentral describes it as "tRNA-Tyr". Lineage: Eukaryota; Metazoa; Mollusca; Bivalvia; Mytilida; Modiolidae. The record is from RNAcentral.
UUAAAGGUGGCUGAAUGUAGGCAGUUGGCUGUAAACCUUCUUAUGAGAGAUUCUCCCUUUUA